AACGAACGCUGGCGGCAGGCCUAACACAUGCAAGUCGAACGGACGUAGCAAUACGUUAGUGGCGCACGGGAGAGUAACGCGUGGGAACCUACCUUUUGGUUCGGGAUAACAUCGGGAAACUGGUGCUAAUACCGGAUAAGCCCUUCGGGGGAAAGAUUUAUUGCCGAAAGAUGGGCCCGCGUUGGAUUAGCUAGUUGGUGAGGUAAUGGCUCACCAAGGCAACGAUCCAUAGCUGGUCUGAGAGGAUGAUCAGCCUCACUGGGACUGAGACACGGCCCAGACUCCUACGGGAGGCAGCAGUGGGGAAUAUUGGACAAUGGGGGAAACCCUGAUCCAGCCAUGCCGCGUGAAUGAUGAAGGCCUUCGGGUUGUAAAGUUCUUUUGGUGGGGACGAUGAUGACGGUACCCACAGAAUAAGCUCCGGCUAACUUCGUGCCAGCAGCCGCCGUAA
RNAcentral lists this ribosomal RNA (451 nucleotides) under uncultured bacterium. RNAcentral describes it as "partial 16S ribosomal RNA". It matches the Rfam family "Bacterial small subunit ribosomal RNA", at positions 29 to 523 of the family's 1533-position model. The record is from RNAcentral.